This 468-nucleotide ribosomal RNA is filed under the name uncultured bacterium. Its description in RNAcentral is "partial 16S ribosomal RNA". It matches the Rfam family "Bacterial small subunit ribosomal RNA", at positions 28 to 507 of the family's 1533-position model. The record is from RNAcentral.
GACGAACGCUGGCGGCGUGCUUAACACAUGCAAGUCGAACGGAAAGGCCCUGCUUUUGUGGGGUGCUCGAGUGGCGAACGGGUGAGUAACACGUGAGUAACCUGCCCUUGACGUUGGGAUAACUUCAGGAAACUGGGGCUAAUACCGGAUAGGAGCUCCUGCUGCAUGGUGGGGGUUGGAAAGUUUCGGCGGUUGGGGAUGGACUCGCGGCUUAUCAGCUUGUUGGUGGGGUAGUGGCUUACCAAGGCUUUGACGGGUAGCCGGCCUGAGAGGGUGACCGGCCACAUUGGGACUGAGAUACGGCCCAGACUGCUACGGGAGGCAGCAGUGGGGAAUAUUGCACAAUGGGCGGAAGCCUGAUGCAGCAACGCCGCGUGCGGGAUGACGGCCUUCGGGUUGUAAACCGCUUUCGCCUGUGACGAAGCGUGAGUGACGGUAAUGGGUAAAGAAGCACCGGCUAACUACGUG